UACGUAGGGGGCAAGCGUUAUCCGGAAUUACUGGGUGUAAAGGGAGCGUAGACGGUUAAGUAAGUCUGGAGUGAAAGCCCGGGGCCCAACCCCGGAACUGCAUUGGAAACUGUAUUUCUAGAGUGUCGGAGAGGCAAGUGGAAUUCCUGGUGUAGCGGUGAAAUGCGUAGAUAUCAGGAGGAACACCAGUGGCGAAGGCGGCUUGCUGGACGAUGACUGACGUUGAGGCUCGAAAGCGUGGGGAGCAAACAGG
This 253-nucleotide ribosomal RNA is filed under the name uncultured Blautia sp. RNAcentral's name for it is "partial 16S ribosomal RNA". It matches the Rfam family "Bacterial small subunit ribosomal RNA", at positions 524 to 776 of the family's 1533-position model. Lineage: Bacteria; Bacillati; Bacillota; Clostridia; Lachnospirales; Lachnospiraceae. The record is from RNAcentral.